Leucoraja erinaceus (little skate) is the source of this 970-nucleotide long non-coding RNA. RefSeq lists it as uncharacterized. NCBI's taxonomy places the organism in Eukaryota, Metazoa, Chordata, Chondrichthyes, Rajiformes, Rajidae. The record is from RefSeq and is a predicted model, not a curated record. The transcript has 3 exons.
GCAGCACCUGUGGAGAGAAUAAAGAGGCGGCGUCUCGGGUCAGGACUCUAAGUUGUAGCAGGAUUACUCUCUUUCGACCUAAAUACGUGUCAGACAGGUCUAUAUUUUAAGUUGACAUUUUAACUAUUUUGAAUUCGUCCAUAUUUCAUUAAACAUUUAUUACUAAUUUCCCUGAAAUAUUAUACCAGUCGUUCAAAACAACACAAUAUUCGAGCCGUUAAGGAGAUGUUCGAGCCAAUGUGGGUUUUAUUACAUGAACGACAUGCAAUCAAUAUGGUGCAGUAACUAUAUUUAUGAAGUUGAUUUUUUAAGGAAGCUAUGGACCUGGACCACAAUCCCUCUGCACAUCAAUGCCUUAAGGGUCUUGCCACAACUGUAGACCUUCUCCAUACAUUCAACCUGCCACAGUGCAACACCUCAUACUUGUUUGGAUCAAACUCCAUCUGCCAUUUCUUAAUCUGUUUCUGCAGUAGAUCUAUGUCCCGUUGUGCACUUUGAGAGCCUUUCUCACGGUCUGCAACUCCAGCAAUAUUGGUGUCAUCUGCAAACUUUCUAACUACAUUUAGAUGCGUCAUUAAUAUACAGCACAAACCGCAGAGGUCCCAGCACAGUUCCCUGCGGAACUCCACUGGUCACAGACCUCCAAACAGAAUAAUGUUCUUCCUCCACAACACUGUGUUCUAUGAGUAAGCCUGUCUUGUCAUUAAGGAUUUAAACGGAUUAUGAGGAACAACUUCUUCACACAUAAUAAGGAGCUACGGACUGUAACCAACUACUGGAGCAGCCCUCCCUCAACCGGAAAUGCCGGCACCUCUCUAGCUGAUGACCUGAACUCUUUCUACACUUGUUUCGAGACGUGCAACAUUACCCCAAAUCUGCCAACUAACGACAACACCGCCAGCGUGCUGGCUAGCGAGGCUGGAGGGAGGGCUGCGUUGAAGAUUAAUAUCCCCACUGCAGGGAGAAUAUA